Long non-coding RNA from Lolium perenne, 1137 nucleotides. RefSeq lists it as uncharacterized. Lineage: Eukaryota; Viridiplantae; Streptophyta; Magnoliopsida; Poales; Poaceae. The record is from RefSeq and is a predicted model, not a curated record.
CAGGAGAGAAAGUGGGCUGCGUUUUCUGCUUCUUUUUUGUUUUCGUUUUUUGGAGGAAGAGAAUAAGCUCGAUUAAAACAACCCCAACACCCAGAUCAAACGCCACCAGCCCCAGCCAUCCUCCGGCGACGCCCCAUCUCCACAAGCCCCGGCCAUCCUCCGGCGCCGCCCCGUCUCCACAAGCCCCGGCCAUCCUCGCCUCCCCCGUCCCCACCUUCCCUCCGACCCAGUUCCACCGCUCCCGAGGUCCAGCACCAGAUCGCUGCCGCCGUCCAAGACUCGCCGCCGGGAGGAACGUCGCAUCACAGACCAUGGCGACGCGGCCGGCUGGCUCGCCGGUGCCCGCGUGCAUCCAUGCGUGCGGCGCCGUCGAGCUGGCCGGACCGGGUCGCGUGGCGCUGCAUUCCGGCGAUGUGGCACCGGCCACCAGGACGCGCCGGCGGCGGCGAUGUGAGCCACGGAGGUCCGUCGUCCUUGACGCGCUGCGAGGAGCCACGGGAUGAUGUGGCUCCGGUGUUUGGUAGUCCCUGCCAGACCGCCGAUUCGAACAACCGCGGCUCACCGGACUUCCUCGACCGCUGAUGUCUUUGGAGGGGGCCGUGGUCGCGCCGGGUUUGUAAACCGGUUGGCCUAUCCACGUCUUGCAGGAGGUCGCCCCAAGACCACCGCUGCGAUCAUUUGGCCGCCAUUAAUGAAAGGCCAUAUUGAUUAAGAAACGGCACGAGAAGAAGGCAUACUGAGCCCUGUGUGCACUGGGGUUGGUCUUCAUGGCGAGGAGGACGAAGCCGAGGCAGCAGCGACUAGUUGUUGCUGCUGCUGCUGCUGUUGCUCUUGAUGGUCAGUAUGCAUGGAGUUCCUUUUGCUGUAAUUUUGUUGCUGGAAAAGUUCACCUGUGGAGUUUGGAAUUGUUUGUGCAUUAUGUACUCGAGCUGAAUUGAUUGUGUUUUUAGAUCGAGGCUGUGCUUAAUGCGUUUUUGUUUUUCAUUGUCUUCUGAAUGUCCUAGGAAGAGCAAAAGGACAUGUCUUGCGGACAUACUUGCUGAUUAGCCUUUGUUGAUGUUCAUCUACUUUGCCUUGGCAUUCGUUUUUGUGGAAUUUCUGUUUAUUUAGACCUUUCAUGGAAUUUCUGUUUUGUUA